RNAcentral lists this ribosomal RNA (280 nucleotides) under uncultured bacterium. RNAcentral describes it as "partial 16S ribosomal RNA". It matches the Rfam family "Bacterial small subunit ribosomal RNA", at positions 78 to 353 of the family's 1533-position model. The record is from RNAcentral.
GCUUGCUUUCUUUGCUGGCGACCGGCGCACGGGUGAGUAACACGUAUCCAACCUACCCUUUACUCGGGGAUAGCCUUUCGAAAGAAAGAUUAAUACCCGAUAGCAUAAUGAUUCCGCAUGGUUUCAUUAUUAAAGGAUUCCGGUAAAGGAUGGGGAUGCGUUCCAUUAGGUUGUUGGUGGGGUAACGGCCCACCAAGCCUUCGAUGGAUAGGGGUUCUGAGAGGAAGGUCCCCCACAUUGGAACUGAGACACGGUUCAAACUCCUACGGGAGGCAGCAUG